This 468-nucleotide ribosomal RNA is filed under the name uncultured bacterium. RNAcentral's name for it is "partial 16S ribosomal RNA". It matches the Rfam family "Bacterial small subunit ribosomal RNA", at positions 28 to 507 of the family's 1533-position model. The record is from RNAcentral.
GACGAACGCUGGCGGCGUGCUUAACACAUGCAAGUCGAACGGAAAGGCCCUGCUUUUGUGGGGUGCUCGAGUGGCGAACGGGUGAGUAACACGUGAGUAACCUGCCCUUGACUUUGGGAUAACUUCAGGAAACUGGGGCUAAUACCGGAUAGGAGCUCCUGCUGCAUGGUGGGGGUUGGAAAGUUUCGGCGGUUGGGGAUGGACUCGCGGCUUAUCAGCUUGUUGGUGGGGUAGUGGCUUACCAAGGCUUUGACGGGUAGCCGGCCUGAGAGGGUGACCGGGCAGAGUGGGAUGGAGAUACGGCCCAGAGGGCGACGGGGGGCAGCAGUGGGGAAUAUUGGAAAAUGGGCGGAAGCCUGAUGAAGCAACGCCGCGUGGGGGAUGACGGCCUUCGGGGUGGAAACCGAUUUCGCCUGUGACGAAGCGUGAGUGACGGUAAUGGGUAAAGAAGCAAAGGCUAACUACGUG